Molecule: ribosomal RNA, 488 nt
Filed under: uncultured bacterium
Lineage: Bacteria
Description: partial 16S ribosomal RNA
Rfam family: Bacterial small subunit ribosomal RNA
Source: RNAcentral
UGAACGCUGGCGGCAUGCUUUACACAUGCAAGUCGGACGGCAGCACAGAGAAGCUUGCUUCUUGGGUGGCGAGUGGCGAACGGGUGAGUAAUAUAUCGGAACGUACCGAGUAAUGGGGGAUAACUAAUCGAAAGAUUAGCUAAUACCGCAUAUUCUCUGAGGAGGAAAGCAGGGGACCUUCGGGCCUUGCGUUAUUCGAGCGGCCGAUAUCUGAUUAGCUAGUUGGUGGGGUAAAGGCCUACCAAGGCGACGAUCAGUAGCGGGUCUGAGAGGAUGAUCCGCCACACUGGGACUGAGACACGGCCCAGACUCCUACGGGAGGCAGCAGUGGGGAAUUUUGGACAAUGGGCGCAAGCCUGAUCCAGCCAUGCCGCGUGUCUGAAGAAGGCCUUCGGGUUGUAAAGGACUUUUGUCAGGGAAGAAAAGGCUGUUGCUAAUACCGACAGCUGAUGACGGUACCUGAAGAAUAAGCACCGGCUAACUACGUG